ACUUGGAUAAACUCUUAGCUUAGCUAAGCUAAUAUAGCAUCUCCCUUACACCGAGAA
RNAcentral lists this transfer RNA (57 nucleotides) under Paratherina striata. Its description in RNAcentral is "tRNA-Val". Lineage: Eukaryota; Metazoa; Chordata; Actinopteri; Atheriniformes; Telmatherinidae. The record is from RNAcentral.